GACGUACGCUGGCGGCGUGCUUAACACAUGCAAGUCGAACGGAAAGGCCCUGCUUUUGUGGGGUGCUCGAGUGGCGAACGGGUGAGUAACACGUGAGUAACCUGCCCUUGACUUUGGGAUAACUUCAGGAAACUGGGGCUAAUACCGGAUAGGAGCUCCUGCUGCAUGGUGGGGGUUGGAAAGUUUCGGCGGUUGGGGAUGGACUCGCGGCUUAUCAGCUUGUUGGUGGGGUAGUGGCUUACCAAGGCUUUGACGGGUAGCCGGCCUGAGAGGGUGACCGGCCACAUUGGGACUGAGAUACGGCCCAGACUCCUACGGGAGGCAGCAGUGGGGAAUAUUGCACAAUGGGCGGAAGCCUGAUGCAGCAACGCCGCGUGCGGGAUGACGGCCUUCGGGUUGUAAACCGCUUUCGCCUGUGACGAAGCGUGAGUGACGGUAAUGGGUAAAGAAGCACCGGCUAAGUACGUG
RNAcentral lists this ribosomal RNA (468 nucleotides) under uncultured bacterium. Its description in RNAcentral is "partial 16S ribosomal RNA". It matches the Rfam family "Bacterial small subunit ribosomal RNA", at positions 28 to 507 of the family's 1533-position model. The record is from RNAcentral.